Peromyscus californicus insignis is the source of this 7211-nucleotide long non-coding RNA. RefSeq lists it as uncharacterized. Lineage: Eukaryota; Metazoa; Chordata; Mammalia; Rodentia; Cricetidae. The record is from RefSeq and is a predicted model, not a curated record. The transcript has 4 exons.
UCACUCAAUAACAUGGCCAGAUGCUGGAAGUGGUGUCAGGUGGCUCUUAGUCUGAAGCCACACAAUCAUGGUGAACCUUGAACUACAUGAGACCCUUUCCCAGUUCUGUGUGAGCACACACACGCUUGUUUUUAUGCUGGGACUAGAUAGGUGCUUAGAGUUCAAGAACAUUGACUACUCCAUUUUAAAGUCCCCAAGCCAAUGGUACUCCAUUUUAAAUUUUUUUUCUUGACACCACUCCCACAAAUAUUAAAAAUAAACAAUCACAAGUUCUUUUUUUUUUAGUUUUUGAGACAGGGUCUCUCUAUGUAGCCUUGGCUGUCUUGGAACUCUCUAUUUAGAUCAGACUGGCCUAGAAUUCAGAGAUCCACUAACCUCUGCAUCCUGAGUGCUGGGAUUAAAGGUGUAUACCACCACAUCUGGCACAAUUCUUUUUUUUUUAAUUAAAUGUAUUAGGAAGUACAAUAAAAAUCCAUGUAGAGGAAUCUUCAUACUAAAUCCCCUAGACAAAAAAAAAAAGUGGAGCCCUCUGUUAUUGGUGUCUUAGACACAUAUCUGUCAGAUAUUCCCAAACUGAACAUACUUAAAAAUAUAGGAAGGAUUGUCACCAGGAGCAGAAGCUGCAGCUCACAGCUGCAAGCUGUUGUAGUCUUGUGUUCAGAGACCUCUACUCAGGUAAAGCUGGGGCCCUGAACACUUGGUUGAAAACUCUAGCUGACUGCUUCAAAGGGAGCUUCCCCAGUUGAUUUCUGCUGGAUGUUUUGAGUACCCAAUUUGUAUUUUUGUUCUCUCUCUCUCUCUCUCUCUCUCUCUCUCUCUCUCUCUCUCUCUCUCUCUCUCUCUCUCGUUUAUUUAUUCUUUUUCUUUGGCUUGCUGGACUUAAUAAAGUCACUCCUUCAAAACUAAAUAUAUGGCUACCACAUAGAUCAGUCUUCCUACCAUACAUAACAUGCCUACAACUGUGUCUGACUUCACAGGGCUUUUAGGCAUUCAGACUCAGGUCCGAAUAUUUAAGUAGCAAAUGCUUUACUCUCUUGAGGUGUUUCUCCAUCCUGAGACAUGGGUUUUGACUAUAAACGUGGCUCAUCAUGGUCAAUAUUGUCAAUUUGAUAGGAUGAAGAAUCACUCCGUCAAAUCACUCACUCACUGGCAUCUAUGAAAGGAUACAUGAUGGGAUCGGAAGUACAAAUUUGUCUCCUGACUUGCUGAAGUGCAGGGCCUGGCUGUUGAGGCUGCUGGAAAGUGGAAACUGAGGAAGUGGAGAGAGCAUGGCUGUCAGGGAUGCUGGGGAAGUGGAAACUGAGGCCAUGGGCUUUCAGAACCCAAUGAAACUGUGAAUUAAUAUAAUCUAAUCACUUCCCUUUACUUUGAAACUCUUGGUUGUUCACUGUCCUAUAGAGAGACUACCUUAAACCCAGUGGCUUGGAAUCACUUUUAACCCCUUUGUAGCUCAUGUAGGGGUGUGCUCAAAGGAUGACUUGUCUCUGCAACUUGAGGUUUCUUUUAGAGUGUUCAGUGGGGAGUGGCAUGUCCAACAUGGAUGCCUUGGUGUUGACUGUGGGCUGGGGUGCCAUUAUUCUCUAAGUAGCUUCUACAUCCAUGCAGACUGUCCUUAUUCGGUGGUCAGGCUGAGCUUUUCAUGGUAGCCAGUUUCCAAGAAGUUGGAGUGGAACCACAGUGCUUCUGGAGGAUUAAACCCAGAACUCAAAGCAAAUCUUGGAUAGCCUUCACCUAGCAUCAAAGAAGAGUUAAAUAGACUCCACUUGUGAUCAGAGAACUAUGUAUUCAGGUUAAGCAGUGAAGCAGCCUUUGAAGUAGAAGAGGCCAGACUUUCUUGGUGCCCUUUGAUUACCCAUGAGCACCAACAAAGAUAGAAAAAUUAUGUGGCCAAUUUACUCUGAUAUGGGAAUAAUUUCACAUGUACAAAUCACAAAUACAUCGUUUAUAACCUAGUUUUAUACAUACACACACACACACACACACACACACACACACACACACACACACACACACACACACACAUUUGUUAGUUCUGUAUCAGGAGUGGGAGUUGGAAUAGGUGUGGUGGCCUGGAGAGAGGUAAAUGGCUCUAGGUAUACUAUGGCCUCACCUUCUCUUAGCUCUUUGGGCCAGAACCCCUCUUGAAUACCACACCUGUUCCCCACCCCACCCCCAACAUGGCUAUCUGAACCUAUCCCUAGCUGACCAUCUACUUGGUAGCUAGCCCCCUAUCCCUGUUCUAGAGUCUCACUUCACCUCUAACCUUGCCUCUCUACCCUCUACUGUGUAUGUCUGGGACCUAACCACCACCACCCCCAUGCUCUAGGCAAGCCAGUCAUUGUGAUCAUCCUCCAGAAUUGAGGGGUGAGGAGCUAUCCACAAGCUGCAAGUAAGAGUCUCCCAGCUCAAUGUUUUUAGGGGUGCUCAGGACACCCAUUACCCAUACUCACCAACGUAGCUUUUUGCACAGGCUCCAGUGUCUACAGAGUGGCAGGACAGAAACAUACCACUGCCCUAACUGGAACUGAGGUUUGGUACAGCUGCAAGCCAGAGCUACUUAGAUGUCUUGGAGGAGGGGUUCGGUGGAGCUGAAGGCAAACAAAGCCCUGGAGUCUUCUUUGCUUCUGUUCCAAAACCAUCAGCUGGGAAGAAGAAAGGAUUAUCCAGACAGACAAAACAUCUCUGCUGGAAAGGCAGAGAAGAACUGAGUCCCUUUAAGCCCUGGGACAGAUGGAGCUGAGGGACAGCAGACAAUAGUCAAAGUUGGGAGACCUGUGCCCUGUGCCUGGGUUAGGAUCCCAGAGUAAAGUGACAGACCUCAAGCACUGUGCAGACGGGGGAGCCCAGGGUAUUCUGACCAAGAUGAUGGACAUCUCAGACCCCUGGAUCCCAACACUCCUCAUUUUCCAUGCUAAUGUGCUCCCAUCCUCUGUAUCCUCUACAUACAGAGUGAAUGUGCCCCUUUCAAGUCCGCAUACCAAAGCUUCAUUCAGAUUCUGUUCCUGUGGAAUUGAAUUACCUUGCUAUGAGGCAGGCCUCUCUGGAGAAAAAGGAGAUAAGAAGAUAUAUAGUAACUGGCUCCCACUAACACAGAACUGGACUCUGAUCCAGUGGGCUUGGAGUGAGGCUCAAGAAGUUUCUUCUCUAGCAGAUUCCUGGGUGAUGCUGCAGAUGGUGGGGCCAGCUGGUGGAUGAGGACACCUGCUGCAAAGUACCAGCAGGUGGAAAAUCAGAGUGAACGAAACUUAGAUCUUGAGCUUGUGCUGUGGACUUGGAGUUGGCUGCCUUAGUUUCAAGUACAGGUGACAUCAGGGUGGUCUUUGCCACCUGCUCUUCCGGUCUCCAAGAGUGGAUCUGAAGCUCUUUGUUGAACAAGCCACCUUGGCACCAUGGAACACCGUCAACCAAAAGCAGGUGAACCUGAACUGUCACAGCAGCACAGUAUCUUGCUGCAGGAAGUUCCAUCCACCCAAGAACCAAGAGGAGUCCUGUCUCCCCAUCCAUCCAUCUCCUACAUGGAAGUUGGAAAGGCACAAAACUUAGUUAAGAGGCCCCAUCUUCACCUUCGUGAGUAGAUGUAUACAGUCAUCCCAACAGUAGGUUCCUUACGAAAGGAUAAAUUUAGUUCUCUUACACUAAAGUUCACUGCCUCUUGGCAUUCUGCUUUCCACCAUGGGAUGAUGCAAGAAGAAUUCUUGUUGUCAGAGGGGUCACUGAUCUCAGAAUUUUCCAGCCCCCAGUACUGUGAAAAAUAAAAUAAUUAUUAUGUUUUGCUGCAGGGAGGGUCUCACUAUAAAGCCUGGCUUUUAACUUACUAUAUAGCUGAGAAGGGCCACGAACUCAUGACCAUCUUCUUGCCUGGCCAGCACCCCCCCCUCCCGUGUGUGUGUGUGUGUGUGUGUGUGUGUGUGUGUGUGUGUGUGUGUCUGUCUGUCUGUCUGUCUGUCUGUCCGUCUGUUUGACUUUGUGUGUGUGUGUGUGUGGUGGUAUUGUGUUCCCCAAAAUAUUUGUGCACUCUAAUAAACUUAUCUGGGGUCAGAGAACAGAACAGCCACAAUUUUAAACAUAGAGGUUAGGCAGUGGUAGCACACACCUUUAAUCCUAGCAUUUCAGAGGCAGAGAUCUGCCUGGAUCUCUGUGAGUUCAAGGCCACACUGGAAACAGCCAAGCAUGGUGACUCACGCCUUUAACCCCAGGAAGUAAUGGCAGGAGGCAGAAAGGUAUUUAAAGCGUGAGGAUGAGGAACUACAGCUGGUUAAGCUUUUAGGCUUCUAGCAGCAGUUCAGCUGAGAUCCAUUCGGAUGAAGACACAGAGGUUUCCAGUCUGAGGAAACAGGAUCAGCUGAGGAAUUAGCAAGGUGAGGUAGCUGUGGCUUGUUCUGCUUCUCUGAUCUUCCAGCAUUCACCCCAAUAUCUGGCCCUGGGUUUGUUUUUAUUAAUAAGACCUUCUAAGAUUCGUGCUACGUGUGUGUGUGUGUGUGUGUGUGCGCGCGCGCGUGUGUGUAUGUGUGUGUGUGUGUGUCUGUCUGUCUGUCUCUCUCUCUCUCUCUCCCAGUCAUGGGUAUUCUGUUACAGAAGUGCACAAAAUAGAGUAAGUUAGUCCUCAUAUCAGGAUCUUUUACUUAGCCACAUCUGUCAGCCAUGUGGAACACAUAAAGAGCCCAAUUCAUGGGCACUGGGGAGUAGGACAUGGUCAUCUUGUACAGGGUCCACCACACUCCCUCCACAGCACAGGAAGGACUUCCAAGCCCAUGGCUGAGCUUUCUGGAGCAGAGCUUUGUCAAAGGACUUGUUUCAGCCACAUCUGUUUCUCUGUUGCCUCAUCCCCCAAGCCACAGAGGCUCUCUCCCUGUUCAAAUAAAAAUAACACUAGCUGAUACGAACUCUGCACUUUCCCCGGCUCUUGACGGACCCUCACCUUGCUGACUGCUCACACCGAUUGUAUAGUGGAUGCUGGUUUCAUUCUUGCUUUGCAACCAGACAACAGAGAUACAGAUGUGUAAGGAACGUCCUGUGAUGGCGGCACAGCUGAUGUGACAGAGCAAGGACUCAAGCCGUGGAGGCCCAUGGGGGCAUCCCUUCUGCCAUCACUGCCGACAUCACACCUCCACAGUUUUGUAGUCUUGUCCGUGGGGCAAGACAGUUCCCUUAUCAAUUCUGGAGCAAUCAGAUGUCAAUCCCACAUCUGCCUGUGAGUGGGACAGCUAGGCACCCGAGAAGUGGGAGAUGGGGCGUUCAUGCCAAGAUGAAGCUGUACAAAUGGCCUGAUGAAAUGACUCUGUUUCCUGCUGCAGUUUGGUUCUGAAUGUCCCUUAAAGGGCUCAUGCAGUAAAGGCUUAGUCCCCAGCUUGGCAUGUGGGCAAUGGUGGAAAUGUAUAGAGGUGGGCCUGAGUGACAUUGAGGGCAUACCCUCGAAGAAGACUGUGGGUGUAAGCCCCUGCACCUCAUCUUCUUCACUUCCCUAAGGUCCCAUGUCCUUUGAAGGCUCAAAUCAGAGUCAAUGGAUAACUGGAUGAAAUGGGAAUACAAAGGCCCAGUCCUCUCCACUCAACUGGGUGUGUGUCUACCCCAACUGCAGGCUCCCUAUUGGCUUACCUGAGGCCUCAGUUGGAGCCACAUUGUAGCUGAACCUUCCCCUCCCACCCCCUACCUUCCUUACUUCCUUAUAUGUAUCUCAUCUGUGCUAGAUUUGGCUUGUGAUUUCCCCAUCUCGGAGUCUUUUCAGGAACUCCAAGGGACAUGUCACCUUCCUUUCACAUAAUGUAACUGUUUCCCUCAAAGAAAUGAUUAUCUAAAACAAAUAGAAGAUCUCUUAAUUUAAAAAAAAAGGAAAAAAAAAAGAAAUGAUUAUCAUUUUUAAAAUGCUUUAUAGUGCUGAACAACUCUGUUGUCCUGGUCUCAUCUCAGCCUCCAAUGUGCCCUGGGUCCCUGUUUUUCAAGGUGUCUCUUGGGACAGUUUUGCCUGAAACAAUCUAGAGGUGUAAAUGUGUUAUGGGGUACUGUCUUAGUUAGGGUUUCUAUUGCUGUGAAGAGACACCAUGACCACAGCAACUCUUAUAAAUUAAAACAUUUAAUUGGGGUGGCUCAUUUACAGUUUCAGUCCAUUAUCAUGGCGGGGAGCAUGGCUGCGUGCAGGCAGAUGUGCUGGAGAAGAAGCUGAGAGUCCUACAUCUUGCAGGCAGCAGGAAGGACUGUAUGCCACACUAUGUAAAAGCUUGAGCCAAAGAGACCUCAAAACCUGCUACCACAGUGACAGACUUCCGUCAGCAAGGCCACACCUCCCAAUAAUGUCACUUCCUACGAGCUUAUGGGGGCCAAUUACAUUCAAACUACCAUAGAUACCUGAAGAGAAAAACUCCUAAGAGGCCCGAUUAAGUUGAAUGGAGUCUUUAUUAAUGGCUAGUGAGACUGUCCCAAGCAGAUUGGUGUGGGAAGCAGCCCAACCUCUAGUUGGUUUGAGUUUUUAAGUGCAAAAUACUCAAUUGUGACAUACAGAAAUCAAACAUUGCUUACAGAAGCAGAGAGACAGCAGUUAAAUAGGCGGUUAACCUUUAGCUCAGGGUCACAUUAUAUAGGAAUUUAGGACUGGCCCAGAGGCCAGUUUUACCCAAGAUAGUUUUAGCACUUAGGAAUACUUUUGUGAGAUGGCAUAACUAUAGUUCAGUAGCUUAUUACAAGUUUCCAGCUAAAGAUCUGCUUGUUGCAUGAGUUUGGUAAGCUGAGUUUUCAGGUGAGAAAUUUCAGGUUUAUGGAAUACCAAGAAAUGUAUAAGGUGUGGUACUUUUGAUGACAGCACUUCUCCAGACAUUCCUGCUCUCCUUUGUAACCCUGCCCAAGCUGAACACGGGUUCUUUUAUUCCAAUCUUAACCACCCAUAACUCUCAGAUCACACAUUACAGGUCACCCUACGAAUCCAUCCAUCUAGAUCUCUCUGUAUAUGCAGCUUCAGAAAGGCUACAAAAGCUAAGUGGCCACAGUAGAAUUCAAAAGGUUUCUGAAGAAGGCUGACAGAAAUGUAAAUAGUCUAUUGAUAAGAUAACAAACACAGAGCCGGGCGGUGGUGGCGCACGCCUUUAAUCCCAGCACUGGGAGGCAGAGGCAGGUGGAUCUCUAUGAGUUCGAGGCCAGCCUGGGCUACAGAACAAGAUCCAGGACAGGCACCAAAACUAUGCAGAGAAACCCUGUCUCGAAAAACCAAAAAAAAAAAAAAA